CAGGGGAUCCAAGCAUAAUAUGUCGGAAUUCAGAGGCUUUGAGCAGCUUCGAUCUGGAAUAAAGGUUGUUGCAGAAAACAAGAAUACUGAAGAGCUCUGAUUUUGCAGAGGAGGGUUGUAUGGGAGUGAGUGCUGAAAGGGGUUAAUCUUUGACUACGGAGAUGAUCGGGGAAAGGAUAUGAUGAAAAAGGAGAUUCUCUCUUUAAUUUCUUAAAAUUAAAACAGAGGAUACAGGACGUUGGUUUGAAGAAAACGCCAUCGGCAUAGGAUCAUUUCGUCAUCUUUGGUGAAAUUGAGUGGUAUAUGGAGACUCCUCUCUCGAAUCAUUUGUGAUCCGCUCUUUAUGUAACACAAACUGAGUGGUUUUUCUAGCUGAAGUUUUCCGAAGAUAUACUUGAAGGGCAGGUUCCUCUUUACAUUUCCAUGGCGUCGAAUAUCCAUGACAUAGUUAAUACAACUUUAAACUGGAUAACAUUUGCUUUGGAUGCUCCCUCUGCUCGAGCUGUUGUAUUUGGAGUGCAUAUAGGCGGGCAUCUUUUUGUGGAGGUUCUUCUGCUGGUGGUCAUCCUCUUCCUACUUUCCCAGAAAAGUUACAAGCCUCCUAAAAGGCCUUUAAGCAAGAAGAAAGAACUCUGCUUCUUUCAAGAAAAAUCAGUCUUGAGUGUAUAGACAGCACGGGGUGUUGCUUCAAAUUGACAAGAUCAAGCUUACUGAUGCCUGUUUGGAGAUGGACCUUUGUUAACUGUUUACUGGUUUUCACAUACUUUUUGAGUUAAAGGUAAGGGCAGGUAUGAAAAAAGAAAGUAGCAGCCGUGUAUAUGAUUAAAGUGAGAGGUUUUAUCGUUUGACAUAGCUGUAAUAGCAGCCAGACUAAAAAAGUUAUAAUGUGGUAAUGGAAUAUAGGAAUUACUUGUAAUUAUUGGACGAUAUAUUUUGUAAGGAUACAGUAACCUGGCAUUGCUAUGCAUGUAUAACAUGGCUAUGAAGUGUUCUUAGAUUUAGUAUAUCUGAUAUUAGAUGACAUGUAUUUUUUUCAGUGAAGUCAAAGCUAAGCAAGUAGUUGAUUUUAUUUCAGCAAUUCUACUAGUUUCAUGCAUCUAGAACAAGCGCAUUGUUCUAUUAGUGUGAAAGAAGCAUUUCAGUAAGUGUUUAGAAUAACUAACUGCAGAAUGAAGUAAGCAACAAUUUCAGUGCGUACAUGAUAGCGUGAGAGGUCCAGUUGCCAAUUAGUGUGGUAUGUACUAUUGUUGUUUUUCUUUUCCUGAAAUAUUGUGUUACGUCCUAUUGCAAAAUCUUAUUACCAGAUCAUCAGUAUGGACUUGCAACCCAAGGAUCUCAAAGAGUCCUAAAAGCGUUUUAGAAGUUAUUUUUCUUUUGAUCUUUAUUCCUUGACAUAAAAACCUUCUAAGACCUUACUGAAAGAGACAAGAAACUGCUUAUCUUAGUGCAACUGCUUCCUACAUUUUAGCAGUUUUUGAACAAGAGACAGAUUUAGCUGGCCUACAUAAUUGUUACUGACUAGACCUUAAUAAUAUCUGGUUGAGCUGCUAGUACACUUAGCCACUAAAUAGAACUAUUUGGCUCACAAAAUCUUAUUGAUAUACUUUUGUUACGUGCACUUGUUGGCCCACGGUACAUCUCUCUUCCUCAAAAAUGAGUUCAUCCCUGAGUGCAAAAGAUGGGCUAACAGGGAACGAAUUGGCCUCAAAUUAACCUCUACAAAACAUCUGCAGGCAUAAUGUGAUGUCUCAAGUUUGAAGAUCGCCCUUAGUAGAUGGAGUGAAAGCUAUGAUGAACCGUAGAUGAGGGAAAUUGCUAAGUAAGUUUAUUAAUGUCUCGUGUCUGGGGUCAGGUGACAAGUCGUGUUAGAGAAAUCUUGCAGCAAGCAUGAGGCUUGCUUGCGCUGUUCUUGCCCUUGUCAGCCUAUGGUUGAGACUUGGAGAAUCUUGGAUAUUGUUAUAGAUGCAAAUAUGCAAGGUGUAGCAAGAACAAGAAAUUGACAUUCAAUUAAAU
Non-coding RNA from Carica papaya (papaya), 2013 nucleotides. NCBI's taxonomy places the organism in Eukaryota, Viridiplantae, Streptophyta, Magnoliopsida, Brassicales, Caricaceae. The record is from RefSeq and is a predicted model, not a curated record.